RNAcentral lists this ribosomal RNA (533 nucleotides) under uncultured bacterium. RNAcentral describes it as "partial 16S ribosomal RNA". It matches the Rfam family "Bacterial small subunit ribosomal RNA", at positions 355 to 896 of the family's 1533-position model. The record is from RNAcentral.
UGGGGAAUAUUGGACAAUGGGCGGAAGCCUGAUCCAGCAACGCCGCGUGAGGGAUGACGGCCUUCGGGUUGUAAACCUCUUUCAGUACCGACGAAGCGAAAGUGACGGUAGGUACAGAAGAAGGACCGGCCAACUACGUGCCAGCAGCCGCGGUAAUACGUAGGGUCCGAGCGUUGUCCGGAAUUAUUGGGCGUAAAGGGCUCGUAGGCGGUUUGUCGCGUCGGGAGUGAAAACAGCGGGCUUAACUCGUUGCUUGCUUUCGAUACGGGCAGACUAGAGGUAUGCAGGGGAGAAUGGAAUUCCUGGUGUAGCGGUGAAAAUGCGCAGAUAUCAGGAGGAACACCGGUGGCGAAGGCGGUUCUCUGGGCAUUACCUGACGCUGAGGAGCGAAAGUGUGGGGAGCGAACAGGAUUAGAUACCCUGGUAGUCCACACCGUAAACGUUGGGCGCUAGGUGUGGGGUCCUUUCCACGGAUUCCGUGCCGUAGCUAACGCAUUAAGCGCCCCGCCUGGGGGAGUACGGCCGCAAGGCUC